RNAcentral lists this ribosomal RNA (252 nucleotides) under uncultured Rhizobium sp. Its description in RNAcentral is "partial 16S ribosomal RNA". It matches the Rfam family "Bacterial small subunit ribosomal RNA", at positions 524 to 776 of the family's 1533-position model. Lineage: Bacteria; Pseudomonadati; Pseudomonadota; Alphaproteobacteria; Hyphomicrobiales; Rhizobiaceae. The record is from RNAcentral.
UACGUAGGGUGCGAGCGUUGUUCGGAAUUACUGGGCGUAAAGCGCACGUAGGCGGAUAUUUAAGUCAGGGGUGAAAUCCCAGAGCUCAACUCUGGAACUGCCUUUGAUACUGGGUAUCUUGAGUAUGGAAGAGGUAAGUGGAAUUCCGAGUGUAGAGGUGAAAUUCGUAGAUAUUCGGAGGAACACCAGUGGCGAGGCGGCUUACUGGUCCAUUACUGACGCUGAGGUGCGAAAGCGUGGGGAGCAAACAGC